Molecule: ribosomal RNA, 495 nt
Filed under: Janetia szepligetii
Lineage: Eukaryota; Metazoa; Arthropoda; Insecta; Diptera; Cecidomyiidae
Description: partial large subunit ribosomal RNA
Rfam family: Archaeal large subunit ribosomal RNA (bases 1-151)
Source: RNAcentral
CGCCUGUUUAUUAAAAACAUGGUUUUUAUUAUUUAUUAAAAAUUGAACCUGCCCAUUGAUUUAUUAAUUUAAAGGCCGCAGUAUUUUGACUGUGCUAAGGUAGCAUAAUCAUUAGUUUUUUAAUUGAAAUCUAGCAUGAAUGGUUUAAUGAAAUAAAUUCUUUUUUAAUUUAAAAUUAAUAAUUUUAUUUUUUAGUAAAAAAGCUAAAAUUUUUAAGAGGGACGAGAAGACCCUAUAGAAUUUUAUAAUAAAUUUAUAAUUUUAAAUUUUUAAAUUUUAUUUUUAUUAAUAAAUUAUUUUAUUGGGGUGAUAGUUAAAUUUAUUUAACUUUUUGUUAUUUAAUCAUUAAUAAUUGUUUAUAAAUUGAUCCUUUUUUAGAGAUUAAAAGAAUAAAUUACCUUAGGGAUAACAGCAUAAUUUUAUUAAAAAGCUCUUAUUUUUAAUAAGGUUUAUGACCUCGAUGUUGGAUUAAAUAAAUUUUUAUAUUAGAUAUAU